GAUGAACGCUGGCGGCGUGCCUAAUACAUGCAAGUCGAGCGAACGGACGAGAAGCUUGCUUCUCUGAUGUUAGCGGCGGACGGGUGAGUAACACGUGGAUAACCUACCUAUAAGACUGGGAUCACUUCGGGAAACCGGAGCUAAUACCGGAUAAUAUUUUGAACCGCAUUGUUCAAAAGUGAAAGACGGUCUUGCUGUCACUUAUAGAUGGAUCCGCGCUGCAUUAGCUAGUUGGUAAGGUAACGGCUUACCAAGGCAACGAUGCAUAGCCGACCUGUGAGGGGGAUCGGCCACACUGGAACUGAGACACGGUCCAGACUCCUACGGGAGGCAGCAGUAGGGAAUCUUACGCAAUGGGCGAAAGCCUGACGGAGCAACGGCGCGUGAGUGAUGAAGGUCUUCGGAUCGUAAAACUCUGUUAUGAGGGAAGAACAGAUUUGUAAGUAACUGUGCACAUCUUGACGGUACCUAAUCAGAAAGCCACGGCUAACUACGUG
This 497-nucleotide ribosomal RNA is filed under the name uncultured bacterium. Its description in RNAcentral is "partial 16S ribosomal RNA". It matches the Rfam family "Bacterial small subunit ribosomal RNA", at positions 28 to 507 of the family's 1533-position model. The record is from RNAcentral.